Molecule: ribosomal RNA, 253 nt
Filed under: uncultured bacterium
Lineage: Bacteria
Description: partial 16S ribosomal RNA
Rfam family: Bacterial small subunit ribosomal RNA
Source: RNAcentral
UACGUAGGGUGCGAGCGUUAAUCGGAAUUACUGGGCGUAAAGCGUGCGCAGGCGGUUCGCCAAGUCAGGUGUGAAAUCCCCGGGCUUAACCUGGGAAUUGCGCUUGAAACUAGCGGGCUUGAGUGUGGCAGAGGGGGGUGGAAUUCCACGUGUAGCGGUGGAAUGCGCAGAUAUCAGGAGGAACACCAACGGCGAAGGCAGCUCGCUAGGACGGUACUGACGCUGAGGCGCGAAAGCGUGGGGAGCAAACAGG